GACGAACGCUGGCGGCGUGCUUAACACAUGCAAGUCGAACGAUGAAGCUGGAGCUUGCUACGGUGGAUUAGUGGCGAACGGGUGAGUAACACGUGAGAAAUCUGACCUUGACUCUGGGAUAACUGCGGGAAACUGUAGCUAAUACCGGAUAUUUUCCUUGGUGGGCACCCACUGGGGAAGAAAGAAUUUCGGUCAAGGCUGAUCUCGCGGUCUAUCAGCUAGUUGGUGAGGUAAUGGCUCACCAAGGCGACGACGGGUAGCCGGCCUGAGAAGUUGAGCGGCAGCACUGGGGCUGGGACACGGCACAGUGUGCUAGGGGAGGCAGCAGUGGGGAAUAUUGCACAAUGGGCGCAAGCCUGAUGCAGCAGCGCCGCGUGAGGGAUGAAGGCCUUCGGGUUGUAAACCUCUUUUAGCAGGGAAGAAGCGAUGGUGACGUUACCUGCAGAGAAAGCACCGGCUAACUACGUGCCAGCCGCCGCCGUAA
This 484-nucleotide ribosomal RNA is filed under the name uncultured bacterium. Its description in RNAcentral is "partial 16S ribosomal RNA". It matches the Rfam family "Bacterial small subunit ribosomal RNA", at positions 28 to 523 of the family's 1533-position model. The record is from RNAcentral.